UGAUUCCUUGGUGCCACUGGGACC
This 24-nucleotide non-coding RNA is filed under the name Mus musculus (house mouse). The record is from RNAcentral. Lineage: Eukaryota; Metazoa; Chordata; Mammalia; Rodentia; Muridae.